UGCAGUUGCUAGGUUGCUGUUUGAUGA
RNAcentral lists this non-coding RNA (27 nucleotides) under Homo sapiens (human). Lineage: Eukaryota; Metazoa; Chordata; Mammalia; Primates; Hominidae. The record is from RNAcentral.